RNAcentral lists this non-coding RNA (23 nucleotides) under Rattus norvegicus (Norway rat). Lineage: Eukaryota; Metazoa; Chordata; Mammalia; Rodentia; Muridae. The record is from RNAcentral.
UAAUUGCAAUUACUGAUUUGGUC